Molecule: long non-coding RNA, 4210 nt
Filed under: Phocoena sinus (vaquita)
Lineage: Eukaryota; Metazoa; Chordata; Mammalia; Artiodactyla; Phocoenidae
Description: lncRNA (ENSPSNG00000004091.1)
Source: RNAcentral
CAAGAGGGAGGCGAUAUGGGGAUAUAUGUAUAUGUAUAGCUGAUUCACUUUGUUGUAAAGCAGAAACUAACACACGAUUGUAAGGCAAUUAUACUCCAAUAAAGAUGUUAAACAAAACAAAACAAAACACAACCCUGUGGUAGUGUUUGGGAAACAAUUGUUUGGAUAAAAUAGGUCAAGCACUCAGAUUCUUUUCCUCUUCUUACGUUUGCCUUGUAGUCCCUCUUACCUGUCCAUGGCACUGCGCUUGCCACGCGCAUCUAUUAGAAAUCGGUGAAGGCUGUCUCUGUCGUAGCAGGUUGAGUAUGUGGCUGUGGCUACACACAUGGGCCUGAGAACAAUGGCAGACACUGUCAGCAGCAACUUGGGGGGCACGGUCACCUCCAGCCACAAAACACACAACCGAGCCUAUGCUCCCCUAGGGUUAGAGAAACCAUUUGUGACAUCAGUUAAUUUGAUUUGGCUUUUAAGUCUUGAUACUGUAUUUUGUGGAGUAAGAAUCACAAACAUUCACAGGCCCAAAACCUGGAUGCUCUAAUAGUUUCCAAGGCUAUUAGGGAUCAUGCCUGCAGUGAUUUUUGAGGAGCCAGUUAGAAUUGUGAUGUUAACAUGAUGGCUGGGCAUCAAAAAUAACAGUGACAGAAAGAAUACUGAAUGAGAGAAGCCCCAGGUUCUGGUCCCAGUGCCACCACUGGCUUAACUGUGGAGCCUUAGGCAAGUAACAUCAUCCUUGUGGCCUCCAGUUACUUCAUCUGCAGAGCUAUCGCUUUGAAGUAGAUGAACUCUAAGGAUCCUUCUAUCUCUUAAUCUUCUAGGAAUUUGUGAUGGACAUAGUCACUAAUAAUAAUUGAUUUAAAGUGUGACCUUUAGAUUUUAUUUUAGUACAUACUAGGUCUCCGAAAACGUAUAAUGAGGUCAAUCGCUGAAAGUUUAACAAUAGACUUAGGUGUGUUCAAUGUGUGUGUAUGUGAGGUGGAAAAGGCUCCUUCUCAAGGAGUCAAACAUACAUUCUUCCUUAUCUGAGUCUCCAGCAGUGUAUUUCCGAACCUUCAUACUUAUUUGUUCAUUCUUUUCUUUCACAGUUGAUCACAUAAUGAGUAUCUGGUUGAAGCCAGACACUUGCCACUUCAAACAGCCUAGUCAUUUACAUCUUUGGCUCAAUACUUAUAUUUUACCAAUAAGUAAACAAAAAACAAGCACUAAUGUCAGACAAGGGUGAUGAAAAUGCCAAAACUAAACCAUUGCUUGCAGGCAGCAUCAACAGAAAAAAACCUUUUAAAUGUUGGCUUGUCAGCUGAUACAUGAAUAUCCAGAUUCUACGUAGAAACAGCGUUGUAUAAUUCUAUGUAUAAUGAACAAAAAUGUGGAUUUAAUAGUUAAGGAUGGUCUAUUCUAUAAUACCAUAGGGCUUAAUUUGUGAGUUAAAAGGUGAUUUGAGGGUAUUAAUUUUCACUUGAGUAACCAGUUUCCAAUGAGGGAAAAAUCAGAUUCUGCUUUCCCAAGGUUUCCAAACAUUACCUCAAAAUAGUAACCCAAGUAAGAGUGUAUUCUAAAACUUCGAAAUGUUUUUUUCCAUCAUUAGUUCCCAUUCUCAUUUCAAGUUUUGAAGAAGGUGGAGAAAAAUAGUUACUUUCCAUCUGGCUGUCCGCUUGCCUGCGUAAGUUGUGCUGUCGUGGGUUUGUGGGGUUUUUUUGACAGGGGGGUUGGCGGGGGGAUUAGGAGGGUCUGACAAGAACUUAAUUGUGUGAGUGAUCCAUUCCAGAUCUAGACAUAGCUCUCCUACCCUCUGACCCAGCCCAGAGACUCUUAACUCUCACAGAACGGCAAAGGAACGGUUUGACCUUUUGUCCCUCCCAAACAGAAUCUGCUAGAAGCACCCCUCUACAGUGUUAUACAUUCAUAUUCUCUAUAAAUUGAAUCUAGACAUUUCACGCGGGACUGAACAGGCAUUGAAGAUGCAACUGGGGUGAGAUGGAUUAACUCUACCCUUCUUUAAAUCUCUUCAGGUUUUUGCAUCAGGAAACUGUCGGGUCAGAUUCCUGCCAGAAAAUGUGCUGGAUGUUUCGUGUCUUGGAAGGGGUAUUAGACGUAGAGGGAGAAGACUCUGGUUUAUGUCUGACGCUCUACUUACCAGCUGUGGAAGCUUGAGCAAGUUACUUUAUCUCUGAGUUUGUAUACUUAUCUGCAAAAUGAGGAUAAUAUUUAACUUACAGAGUGUUGUGAGAAACGGCGAAGACUAUGUGAAAGGUUUUCAUAAGUUGACAACACUACACAAAUGUAAGGUCUCCUAGGGAAUCCUUUUCAAAAACUCAAAAAAUCUGUAUGAAGUAAGAUAUUUAUUACAUGUUGAAUGAAAUAUUUUAUCGCCAUAAAAAUUAUAAGAGGAAAUGUGUUGAAAAAAUUUUAAGUUGUACUUUGCAGUUACAAUAGUGUAAAAGCUGUGCACAUGGACUAGAAGCAUAUGGGAAAAAAUGGAAUCAGCUGUUUCAGGACAGUGGAAUUGAGCGACUUUUCUUUAAAAAUCUCUUUGGCCUAUUCAAUUCAGUUCAGUAGACGCACUGUGCCAGGUUCAGUGCUCAAUUCUGUGAACACAGAGAAAAGUAGGAUAUGCUCCCACGUCUCAGGGACUCCCAUUUUGUAUAAUCUUUGUUAAAGUUUAUUAUGUAUAAGAAUCACCUGGGGAGCUUAUUAAAAGUUCAGAUUAUCCUGAUACCACCCUAGAAAGUCUAUUCCACCCUAACAGGUCUAGGAUGGAACAGCACACAGUUAGCAUUCUUUAAACAGUCACCCUGAGUGAUUCUAAUAUAGGUGGUUUAAUUUCACACUGUGAGAAACCUUCAGUGAGGUUUUAAUGUUUUUACUGUAAAAAGUAAUAAUUUCACAGAUCUGCUCAUUGAAGAAUUUGAUUGUUCUGUCUGGACCUUUUUUUUAAUAUAUAUAUAUUUUUUUAAUUUUAUUUUUUUGGCUGCAUUGGGUCUUCUUUGCAGCGCGAUGGCUUUCUCUAAUUGCAGUGAGGAGGGACUGCUCUUCGUUGCGGUGUGCGGGCUUCUCAUUGCGGUGGCUUCUCUUGUUGUGGAGCCCGGGCUCUAGGUGCGCGGGCUUCAGUAGUUGUGGCAUGUGGGCCCUAGAGCACGCGGGCUUCAGUAGUUGUGGCAUGUGGGCCCUAGAGCACGCGGGCUUCAGUAGUUGCGGCACAUGGGCUCUCAGGUGCAUGGGCUUCAGUAGUUGUGGCACACAGGCUUAGUAGCUGUGGCGCAUGGGCUUAGUCGCUCUGCGGCAUGUGGGCUCUUCCCGGACCAGGAACCCAUGUCCCCUGCAUUGGCAGGCGGAUUCUUAACCACGGUGCCACCAGGGAAGUCCCCUGUGUGGACCUUUGAGCUGGCUUCUGUGCCUCUAUAUCAAGGAUGGGAAAGCCAGCCUGCAGAGUGGUGUUGCUCUGGAACUCAUGUGGCAUAGAUCCUGCCACAUCUCUCGACCUGUAUCUCUGCCUCACUUCCUUUCUCUUCCACUACCUCUCCCAUGUUUUUUCUCUGUGCAUGUUUUUCUCUCCCACUCUGAUUCCUCCUAUGCCUGCAAUACAGCAACAUCCAGGUGCUUCCCCUUCCUUUUUCCACCCCUUCCCCCAACCAGAUAUGUCAACUUUAUUGAAAAGAAACCCAACCUACUUCUAGUUUACUAACUUGUGCAGGAAGGCUCUUGUAUCUAGUUAAUGUUUCUCAGAAAACUUAGGAGUGGGCUAUUCAUGGAUCAACAACCACAAAGAUACCAUAUGUGGACCUUUUGUGUCUUUAUUUUGACUGUCAUUUCACUCUUGAUUAACUUUUUUCUAGUGGGUUAGCAGCCUUCAACAGAGUCCUGUCCUGCUCAUCAGGCUGGAGUGUGCCCUGCAUCCUGACAGAGCACUGCUUGUCUCCACAUGCCUAUGAACGGACUUGGGUGGCUUUCUCAGGCUACACACCUGUCACCUCUUAGUCACCUAGAAUCAAAAUAUUAACAGCUCUAAUCACACUGUCUGAGGCCAUGAGGCUUUAUUUCAAGAAUGGUGACACUCCAAAAUGCAGCUAGGAUUUCUACAUUUUCAUGUGUUUAUAUUACUAGUGUUAGUGUUUAUAUGACUUGCACCUCUAGAUACCAAGGGUUGGUCAAUGGCUUCCAGACUCCCUCCCUCCAUUAUGCUCACCCAGAACCAUAUUAAAAUACUGGUCCUCUU